RNAcentral lists this ribosomal RNA (307 nucleotides) under uncultured bacterium. RNAcentral's name for it is "partial 16S ribosomal RNA". It matches the Rfam family "Bacterial small subunit ribosomal RNA", at positions 506 to 808 of the family's 1533-position model. The record is from RNAcentral.
AGACAGCAGUAGCCGCGGUAAUACAGAGGGUGCGAGCGUUAAUCGGAUUUACUGGGCGUAAAGCGUGCGUAGGCGGCUUCUUAAGUCGGAUGUGAAAUCCCUGAGCUUAACUUAGGAAUUGCAUUCGAUACUGGGAAGCUAGAGUAUGGGAGAGGAUGGUAGAAUUCCAGGUGUAGCGGUGAAAUGCGUAGAGAUCUGGAGGAAUACCGAUGGCGAAGGCAGCCAUCUGGCCUAAUACUGACGCUGAGGUACGAAAGCAUGGGGAGCAAACAGGAUUAGAUCCCCCGUAGUCCCUGUCUCUUAUACC